UGUGGCAGCCUCGACUUUUCAUCCU
This 25-nucleotide non-coding RNA is filed under the name Mus musculus (house mouse). Lineage: Eukaryota; Metazoa; Chordata; Mammalia; Rodentia; Muridae. The record is from RNAcentral.